This 203-nucleotide unclassified non-coding RNA is filed under the name Hevea brasiliensis (rubber tree). The record is from RNAcentral. Lineage: Eukaryota; Viridiplantae; Streptophyta; Magnoliopsida; Malpighiales; Euphorbiaceae.
CAAAGCCUGUUUUUCACAAGAAGGUAUACUUUAACAUCCAACAUGUUCAACAUUUUUUCCUUUCUGAACAUAUUGAUUUUUAUCUCAGAAAAGCCAAAUAAUUGCUAUAGCAAUCUCUCUGUUCACUAUAAAGAUGUAGAAGGUUUGAGGCCUGGUCAGUAAAUGUUAUGUAAUUUUCUAAACAGGCCAAAACUACUAAGAAG